UUUUAAAGGGGACAAACUGAAAAGGCCAAGCAUUAUAAGUAACUUAAUGCAAAAGCCACAAGUAUCAUUAAAUAUGCUAAGGAAACACUGAUGAUGUUUGCUGUGUGCUUCACAAUUCUUUAAUUAUAAAGAACACUGGAAGCUGGGCUGGCACCUGAAAUCCUAGCUACUCAGGAGGUUGAGAUCUGAGGACCACGGUUCGAAGCAGCCCAGAUAGUAAAGUCCUCGAGAUACUCACCUCCAAUUAACCACUAAAAAGUCAAAUGUGGAGGCGUGGCCUAAGCGGUAGAGUGCUAGCCUUGAGCACAAGAGCUCAGGGACAGAGCCCAGGUUCAGUUCAAGCCCCAGGGCCAGCCCUGCCCUGCCACACAAAAGAAUAUUGGAGAAGGUAACAUCUGUCCUAUCAAAACUUUACUAUAACCAAGGAAUGAGCCAGACACACAUAUAAAGUGAGGAGAGAAAGUUUGUGUUAUCCCUGUAUAAAAGCUACUUCUUCAUCAAUUCAUUCAAAAGAAAGCUACAGAAAUUACAUUAAGACUUGAUCAAAACUAUUAGAAGAAAUAGAGAACUAUCACACAGGGAUAAAGGAGUUAAUUCAUCCAAAAGAUAUAGCAACCGCUGAUACGUAUGAAUGAACCUCAGAGCAAAUGAAGCAAAAACUGUUAGAACUGAAUGAACAAACAGAAGUAUCUAUAAUUAAAUUGGGGCUCAGCUCUGCUUUUAAUAAUCCAUAAAUCAAGCAGGGAAACUAUCAGUAAGGUUAUAAAAGAUAUAAAUAACACUAGCAACUAAUAAAAAUUUUACCCUAAAGAGAAGAAUGUCCUUUCUUUCAAAGUGUACAAAGAAUAAUAGCCAACACAGCCUAAUUCUUAACCAUAAAAAGACCUCAACAAAUUUAAAAGGGCUGAAAUUAUACUAAAGAAGAGUCUCUUACCACAAAGGAAUUAAACUUGAAAUCAGUGACAGGAAGCAGUCUAGAAAUGUAUAAACACAUGUGUCAAGAUGGAAAUAAUAAAAGAAAUUAGAAAAUAUCUUAAUUGUAUGACAAUCAAAAUGCAAUAAAUGAGGACAUAUAACAUAAAUUAAGUUAAGCAGUGCUAACAGGAAAGCAUAUGAGACAUGUCAGGAAAAUACAACAGCAACCACUUGAGGAUUUCCACAAAUGAAAGGUGUCAUGAGACAUGCAGACUUGGCCAACACACAAAGAACUUCCAGUCAGUUACCCCCACAGUUUGUAAAUGUAUACAUACUUAUGUGUACACAUGAGCAAAACAUUUUUAGAGUGGUAUUUUCUCUAUCUAGUUUUUUUUUAAGUGUUAACAAGGAUUUUAUUUCAUAUAAACGGAGUUUUCUUUCAGUAGGGAGAAAUGGAAAAGAGACAUUUCCUGCUCCCCUUGUAGGACAUGGGAAUUAAGACUUCGCUUCGCAGGGCUUUUUUUUUUUUUUUUUUUUUAAAGAAAAAGGUCAUA
This is a long non-coding RNA of Perognathus longimembris pacificus (Pacific pocket mouse), 1469 nucleotides long. RefSeq lists it as uncharacterized. The record is from RefSeq and is a predicted model, not a curated record. Lineage: Eukaryota; Metazoa; Chordata; Mammalia; Rodentia; Heteromyidae. The transcript is spliced from 2 exons.